AUGCGGCCGGGGCUGCGCGGUGGUGAUGCGAGCCUGCUGGGCGGCGCGCCGGGGCAGCCGGAGCCGCGCGCCGCGGCGCUGUAAUCGGACACCAAGAGCGCUCGCCCCCGGCCUCCGGCCACUUUCCAUUCACUCCGAGGUGCUUGAUUGAGCGACGCGGAGAAGAGCUCCGGGUGCCGCGGCACUGCAGCGCUGAGAUUCCUUUACAAAGAAACUCAGAGGACCGGGAAGAAAGAAUUUCACCUUUGCGACGUGCUAGAAAAUAAGGUCGUCUGGGAAGAGGACUGGAGACACAAGCGGAUCCAACCCCGGUAGCAAACUGAUGACUUUUCCGCGCUGAUUUCUUUCAACCUCGGUAUUUUCCCUUGGAUAUUAACUUGCAUAUCUGAAGAAAUGGCAUUCCGGACAAUUUGCGUGUUGAUUGGAGUAUUUAUUUGUUCUAUCUGUGUAAAAGGAUCUUCCCAGCCCCAAGCAAGAGUUUAUUUAACAUUUGAUGUAACGAAACAAAGACACAGAAACACUUCUUCACCACUGAGCAUUCGAGAGUGAUCUAUACUAUUCUUUCAUCAAAUUUGCUCUAUG
Molecule: small RNA, 582 nt
Filed under: Pan troglodytes (chimpanzee)
Lineage: Eukaryota; Metazoa; Chordata; Mammalia; Primates; Hominidae
Description: processed transcript
Source: RNAcentral